CCAGUAACAAAAUGAAAACUCAAUAAUGGGUUUAGUUGGGGCAAACACAUUGCCUGUGUUCAUGGACUGAUUUAUCAUCCUUGUCCCCACGUGGACACUCCCACACACAGUAACUGUCACACACCUGGUAAUUGGCAGUUGGAACUACAACAGAAUCUGAAAAUUCAAGGUAGAACUUUGCAAAAGAAAAAUCUGUUGCUUGUAGCAGGGCAAUGGUUAUGUGGUUAUUGGCCAAAUGUAAAAUUUGAGAGCAAUAUACAGGACAGGAACAGGUGUGUGCUUUUCAAAAGCUUCCACUGACAUCUCUGAAGAAUGAGAAAACACUACAUGGCACUAGCUGGGUGAUUUUGAAAGGAAAAUACAUUCCUAAGGUAACAGUUAAAUCCUUCUGUUGUUACAAACUCGUAGUCGCUUCAAAAAUAGUAGUCAGGUGUCUAGGUCUUGGAUAAUACUCUUGGUUAACACUAAACGUAGCUUAAGUAGACUCUGCAGUUGUAUACAUUUGUAAAAGUAUUAUCUGAACAACUAGUGAGGUUUCAGACUCUUGUAAUUGUAGUUAAAUAGUCAUUGUAUUUUCUUGUGAGCUGUGUUUAAUGGUUUUACCUCAAAUCAGAAAAGAAAAAAAAAUGAAGUGCUUGGGUCAGUUAAUAAAACAGUUUUGCCCCC
This 666-nucleotide long non-coding RNA is filed under the name Rattus norvegicus (Norway rat). Its description in RNAcentral is "long non-coding RNA NONRATT014610". The record is from RNAcentral. Lineage: Eukaryota; Metazoa; Chordata; Mammalia; Rodentia; Muridae.